Molecule: ribosomal RNA, 451 nt
Filed under: uncultured bacterium
Lineage: Bacteria
Description: partial 16S ribosomal RNA
Rfam family: Bacterial small subunit ribosomal RNA
Source: RNAcentral
GUGGGGAAUAUUGCGCAAUGGGGGAAACCCUGACGCAGCGACGCCGUGUGAGGGAAGAAGGCUUUCGGGUCGUAAACCUCUGUCAGAAAGGAAGAACCUCCCAAGUCCGAAUAGGGCUUGGGACUGACGGUACUUUCAAAGGAAGCACCGGCUAACUCCGUGCCAGCAGCCGCGGUAAUACGGAGGGUGCAAGCGUUAAUCGGAAUCACUUGGCGUAAAGCGCGCGUAGGCCGCUUUGUAAGUCGGACGUGAAAGCCCUCGGCUCAACCGGGGAACUGCGUACGAUACUGCGAGGCUUGAGUCCUGGAGAGGGUGGCGGAAUUCCGGGUGUAGGAGUGAAAUCCGUAGAUAUCCGGAGGAACACCGGUGGCGAAGGCGGCCACCUGGACAGGUACUGACGCUGAGGCGCGAAAGCGUGGGGAGCAAACAGGAUUAGAAACCCGGGUAGUCC